This is a long non-coding RNA of Eriocheir sinensis (Chinese mitten crab), 407 nucleotides long. RefSeq lists it as uncharacterized. The record is from RefSeq and is a predicted model, not a curated record. Lineage: Eukaryota; Metazoa; Arthropoda; Malacostraca; Decapoda; Varunidae. The transcript is spliced from 3 exons.
CCUGGCGUCACGCGGGAGAGGAAGGCUGCCGCCAUUACUACAAUUCAUCAUCCAUAUACAGAAAAAGCAGCAAUGGCAGCCUACAGACACCUGCUACGUAGAGUGGCUCACGUGGGACAAUGGGAAGACCUGGCCAUCAGGAGGAGAACCCGUUUGUUCAGGAGCCGUAGGGAUCCCUUUGAAAUGUACUCGGAAGAGGAGUUCACUCAACGCUUUCGGCUCUCCAAGCAAGUCACCCUGGAUCUCUUAUCAAAAAUCCAGCACCUAUUGCCAGAUUCUACCAGGAAAAGAGGGCUUCCAAUCCCACCACGUCUCCAGCUGCUGGUAACCCUCCGCUACUAUGCCACUGGGAGCUUCCAGCUUGACAUGGGGGAUUGCUGUGACAUGUCGCUGCCCAGUGUAUCUAC